RNAcentral lists this ribosomal RNA (2349 nucleotides) under Proteus mirabilis. RNAcentral describes it as "partial 23S ribosomal RNA". It matches the Rfam family "Bacterial large subunit ribosomal RNA", at positions 698 to 2925 of the family's 2925-position model. Lineage: Bacteria; Pseudomonadati; Pseudomonadota; Gammaproteobacteria; Enterobacterales; Morganellaceae. The record is from RNAcentral.
AGUUGCAGGGUAUAGACCCGAAACCCGGUGAUCUAUCCAUGGGCAGGUUGAAGGUUGGGUAACACUAACUGGAGGACCGAACCGACUAAUGUUGAAAAAUUAGCGGAUGACUUGUGGAUGGGGGUGAAAGGCCAAUCAAACCGGGAGAUAGCUGGUUCUCCCCGAAAGCUAUUUAGGUAGCGCCUCGUGAACUCAUCUUCGGGGGUAGAGCACUGUUUCGACUAGGGGGUCAUCCCGACUUACCAACUCGAUGCAAACUGCGAAUACCGAAGAAUGUUAUCACGGGAGACACACGGCGGGUGCUAACGUCCGUCGUGAAGAGGGAAACAACCCAGACCGCCAGCUAAGGUCCCAAAGUCAUGGUUAAGUGGGAAACGAAGUGGGAAGGCUCAGACAGCCAGGAUGUUGGCUUAGAAGCAGCCAUCAUUUAAAGAAAGCGUAAUAGCUCACUGGUCGAGUCGGCCCGCGCGGAAGAUGUAACGGGGCUAAACCAUGCACCGAAGCUGCGGCAGCGAACGUAUCACUUAAAUUUGUUUGAGUGAAUAACGAUUGACGGAACGAAGUGACGUCAAUGCGUUAAUGAAAGUCGAGGCGAAAGCACGACAAAGCGAAUUUAAGGAUACGUUCGUUGGGUAGGGGAGCGUUCUGUAAGCCUGCGAAGGUGUACUGUGAGGUAUGCUGGAGGUAUCAGAAGUGCGAAUGCUGACAUAAGUAACGAUAAUGCGGGUGAAAAACCCGCACGCCGGAAGACCAAGGGUUCCUGUCCAACGUUAAUCGGGGCAGGGUGAGUCGACCCCUAAGGCGAGGCUGAAAAGCGUAGUCGAUGGGAAACGGGUUAAUAUUCCCGUACUGGUGGUAACUGCGAUGGGGGAACGGAGAAGGCUAGGUUGUCCGGGCGACGGUCGUCCCGGUUCAAGCAGGUAGGCAGAGUGAUUAGGCAAAUCCGGUCACUUAAUGCUGAGAUGUGAUGACGAACCACCAAGGUGGUGAAGCAAUUGAUGCCCCGCUUCCAGGAAAAGCCUCUAAGCUUCAGGUUACCAACAAUCGUACCCCAAACCGACACAGGUGGUCAGGUAGAGAAUACUCAGGCGCUUGAGAGAACUCGGGUGAAGGAACUAGGCAAAAUGGUGCCGUAACUUCGGGAGAAGGCACGCUGGCGGUAGGUAAAGUCCCUCGCGGACAGAGCUGAAGCCAGUCGAAGAUACCAGCUGGCUGCAACUGUUUAUUAAAAACACAGCACUGUGCAAACACGAAAGUGGACGUAUACGGUGUGACGCCUGCCCGGUGCUGGAAGGUUAAUUGAUGGGGUUAGCGCAAGCGAAGCUCCUGAUCGAAGCCCCAGUAAACGGCGGCCGUAACUAUAACGGUCCUAAGGUAGCGAAAUUCCUUGUCGGGUAAGUUCCGACCUGCACGAAUGGCGUAAUGAUGGCCAGGCUGUCUCCACCCGAGACUCAGUGAAAUUGAACUCGCUGUGAAGAUGCAGUGUACCCGCGGCAAGACGGAAAGACCCCGUGAACCUUUACUAUAGCUUGACACUGAACAUUGAGCCUUGAUGUGUAGGAUAGGUGGGAGGCUUUGAAGUGUGGACGCCAGUCUGCAUGGAGCCAACCUUGAAAUACCACCCUUUAACGUUUGAUGUUCUAACCUAGGCCCGUGAUCCGGGUCGGGGACCGUGUCUGGUGGGUAGUUUGACUGGGGCGGUCUCCUCCUAAAGAGUAACGGAGGAGCACGAAGGUUGGCUAAGCAUGGUCGGACAUCAUGCGGUUAGUGCAAAGGCAUAAGCCAGCUUGACUGCGAGAGUGACGGCUCGAGCAGGUACGAAAGUAGGUCUUAGUGAUCCGGUGGUUCUGAAUGGAAGGGCCAUCGCUCAACGGAUAAAAGGUACUCCGGGGAUAACAGGCUGAUACCGCCCAAGAGUUCAUAUCGACGGCGGUGUUUGGCACCUCGAUGUCGGCUCAUCACAUCCUGGGGCUGAAGUAGGUCCCAAGGGUAUGGCUGUUCGCCAUUUAAAGUGGUACGCGAGCUGGGUUUAGAACGUCGUGAGACAGUUCGGUCCCUAUCUGCCGUGGGCGUUGGAAGAUUGAGAGGGGUUGCUCCUAGUACGAGAGGACCGGAGUGAACGCACCACUGGUGUUCGGGUUGUCAUGCCAAUGGCAUUGCCCGGUAGCUAAGUGCGGAAGAGAUAACCGCUGAAAGCAUCUAAGCGGGAAACUUGCCUCGAGAUGAGUCUUCCCUGUCGCUUAAAGCGACCUAAAGGAACGUUUAAGACGAAGACGUUGAUAGGCUGGAUGUGUAAGCGUAGCGAUACGUUGAGCUAACCAGUACUAAUGAACCGUGAGGCUUAACCUG